Molecule: microRNA, 22 nt
Filed under: Salmo salar (Atlantic salmon)
Lineage: Eukaryota; Metazoa; Chordata; Actinopteri; Salmoniformes; Salmonidae
Description: ssa-miR-23a-5p
Gene: ssa-miR-23a-5p
Source: miRBase by way of RNAcentral
GGAUUCCUGGCAGAGUGAUUUG